AGCACAGGUGAAGGUAAUUCAGCUGUGCCCCCAGAAGGGGUGGAGCUUGAAUCCACUUCUCCCAGAUCCCAAUUAUAGGCCGACCAGCACUAAGUUAAUAUCUUUUUCUGGAGGUAGCUCUUUUGUGGUGAGUCCUUGACAUUGGUGAGCACCUAUCUUGAAGGCCUCGGAGUUGGUGUCACAAAGUUGAGGAAUGAGUCUGAGUUUGACCCUCAGGAGGCAAGGCUGGAUUAAAUACUUGCCACAGAAGGAUGGGGCUUCCAGACCUUCCUGGUGCAAUGGCUCUGCAAUGUCAUAUUUCUGAACAACAUGUAGCUGACAUAGAAGUGAAUCAGCUGGUGGAACAGAGAAGCUGAGAGAUGAUGCAACAAACCUGAUGCAGCUACUAGAAGUACCAUUUCCUUGGGCAGGACAUGGUUGGGGUCAGAAGCUGAAGGUGGGCUGAAGAAAGGACAGACACAUUUGGAAGUGAGGGAAAGUUCACCUGAACAUAAAACAAAUCCAUGGUUCAUGUACAACUUGUGAAUAAAAUUCCAUCAGUUUUUCCUCAUAUCAUGAAGUGGAUGGAGGAUGUUGAGCUUUGAACUAACUAUGAGGGCCUGGAUUCACUACUGAUGGCAGAGCUGCACUGGAGUAAUCUCUCUGGCCAUAAAGUAACAGAUUUAGCAGAGCAAUGAAGGCUAACACAGUCUUGUAAUGUUCAGGCAGUAAUUAGCAGAAUAUCUGUGCAUAUGCACAAAAUCACUUGAGUCAACAGCAUUUGUUUGAUGGUAAGUGAAAGUUAAGAGAUGCUAUGCUAAAGCUAAUAUUUGAUGUAAGAAUUAAGAGAACUUUACCUUCUUGAACAAUGGGGAAUAUGCUUGGAAACAACUGGAGUUGUUUUAGUUACGCUGCAGGAAGCAGCUCUAGUAAGUUAGAAAAUUAUAGAUGCUAUUUUUUAUUACCUUUAUCUCAAUGUAACAUAAAAAAAUUAUUUUCAAAUUAAAUAAUAGAUUCAAAAUAGUUGAACAUUAGAGUAGAAUACAUAUAGUGAUAAUUCAUAUUUUUAAGCACCAUGUUUGUACACAAGGAGAAAAUCAUCUAUUUGACAGAGUCAGUCAUUGUAUCACAGCUUUCAAAUGAAAGCCACAACACUGUUCUUUUCUCAUACAGUGAUUGUAUAGAAAUAAGCUGAAUAUUUAAUGUAUUUUGUCUGUUUUGCAAGUUAAGUAUACAGCAGCAGUAUGUUUUUUUCUCCACUCUAAUCUUUAUUUCUCUGAUGUCAGUUAGUGGCAAUAUUAGUUAGAAAACAAAAAAUGAGGGCUAUUAUGGUUAAAACCUGGAAGAAAUAUUGAUUUUUGGAAUUCUUUAUCAUCUGAAAGUACAAUGACAAAUACACUCUUCAGCCAUAAGUUUUGCAUGUAGUAAUAUAUCCAUGAAAUUAGUGAACUAGAUUUUCUUCCCAUGUGGGGUGUCUGUGCAGCAAGCUUUUAGUAUCUCAAGGAACUAGAUAUAUUUUUGUAGCUGCUCAUGAGAGUAGCAUGACACUUGUGCUAAUUGAAUGGUACUGGAUUGUUAGCUUUAAUCUCUGUGAGGUUUCCAUGGUGAUAUCGCCAGAUGAGAAUAUGGACAUUACAACAAUUUCUUUGUGCUGAUAUGAUUCUGCACUGUGUACUUAGCUGAGGGUGAAAUCCCAGCUUCAUUGAAAAUGAAUGGGAGUUUGAUGUUGAUUUCAGUGAAUUUGUUAUGGUCUCAAUCAUGACUAGCUUUGGAAACAUAGUCUGAAGUCAUAAAAUAAAAAGUCAUCAGACUGUGCCGAUGCUGAAACCCAUUCCCAGGCUGGCAAUAUCUCCACAAUAAAUAAGUUAUGCAAGCCAUUUCCCUCAUAACUCAGACCUUUAACUUGUGCUUACUUGAUUUCAUUGCAUUGGAGCCUGUAGAAUGGAGUAUGACCCUACUGCAUAAAGGAUCGUAAAAGUGUGGAAGAUGGUUCUCUUUCAGAGACCUUACAGCUGGUUACACAAGAACUUCUGAGAAGUGGGAAAGAACAGGUGUAAGCAAGACUCAAUUGCAGUUUCAUAGAAGAAAGAACUCAUUUUCCUGAGCACCUGCAGAGAGAUCGUAUUUCAGUCAACUUUUUCUACUGUCCAUCAGCAUUAAAAAGCCUUCAGGCUGCCCUAUAGUUAGCUCUUACCCCAAGUCAUCCUGAGCCCACACCUGUUGGGGUCCCAGCUCUGUAAAGGGUCACCAGGCUGGAAGAUGAGGGGAAAGGAGCUGUCAGCUGAAGCCUCCGAAGUGGAGAGUGAGGAAGAACUUCUUGCCUGCCCUGGAGUGUAUUUUGCUUUUGCUUGUGUCCAGUUCAACACAGAAUAACCUGGGAUCAUCUAGGUCCUGUACUCAGUAAGGUAUUACAUUUGCAUGUUCUGAAUUGCUUGCUGGAAGUACUUUCCAUUAACAGUAAAGGGUGCCAGAGUGCCUAAUUUAGGUGCCAAUGCACCUUUCUAAAUACCCAGUGACACCAUCUUGGUCAAGGCCUGGUCAUUCUUCUGUGUUAAGAUGUUUAAAUUCCAGGGCAAAUCACUAUCUCAUCAGAAUUUAGACAGCCCUAACCUAACUUGAAACCUUAGUCAAUUAUCUGGGAAACACAUAAUCCUUCUCUUUCCAGAUAUAAACCUGAAAUAUUUAUCAAUCAUUUAUGUGGUUUCUGUCUUCUCUUCUGAUAAUACUUCUUUCUCUCCCAAGUAUACAAACGUUUCAUUGCCCCUAGCCCUGCCAACCAUGGAUUUUCCUUGCUGGCUUAGCUUCCCUUAUGAAAUAUCAACACCUUACAAUUACUCUUGAUUGCCAUCUACUUUCCUUUCUCAACAUUAGUUGUACAUUGUAACUUUUUCUUCUUAACCGCUGACUUUCUUUCUCCAGGAACUGGAUUGCAAGCAAAGUUGUGCUUUUGCUUGUUGGUAGACUUACAGCUUUUUGGCAGUCUACUAUAUUUUGUUACAAAUUUCUCUCUGUUAUUCCCACAUUUGUACAUUUUCCUCCCAAAACUCAAUUUUGUCAGCACUGGGGAAAUAACCUUUUUGUGGUUAAGGCUGUCAGCAGAAGACGGCUUAGAUCAAUGGCAGCUAUGAAGCUGAAGUGGAAACAGGCAAAUAUUGCCAGCAGUGAGAUAUUUAUACAUCUCAUCUCAGCCAAAGGGUAUGGCAUUUCUCUCAUCAGGUUUUUAAUAACGAGGUGCUUGGGGUAGGCAGUAUAUGUUAAAUCUUGUGAGAUGUCCUCCUGUUACACCAAACAUACCUAUGGAAACAUGGAAUGUUUGCUGUUUGCUUGCACUAAGAUGGACAGAGCCAGUUGCUGUUUGACCUUGUUUUAUAUUGAGAGGUACUUACAUCUUGGCACAGCUCUUUUUGAGUAUUUUGUAUGUUUAAAUCCACAAAUCUGGGCUUUUGCCGAGCCAAGAUUAAACUAUUCUUUUCUGGCCACGUUCCUCAA
Coturnix japonica (Japanese quail) is the source of this 3468-nucleotide non-coding RNA. The record is from RefSeq and is a predicted model, not a curated record. NCBI's taxonomy places the organism in Eukaryota, Metazoa, Chordata, Aves, Galliformes, Phasianidae.